This 429-nucleotide ribosomal RNA is filed under the name Chloroflexota bacterium. RNAcentral describes it as "Chloroflexi bacterium partial 16S ribosomal RNA". It matches the Rfam family "Bacterial small subunit ribosomal RNA", at positions 355 to 776 of the family's 1533-position model. The record is from RNAcentral. Lineage: Bacteria; Bacillati; Chloroflexota.
UGGGGAAUAUUGCACAAUGGGCGCAAGCCUGAUGCAGCCAUGCCGCGUGUAUGAAGAAGGCCUUCGGGUUGUAAAGUACUUUCAGCGGGGAGGAAGGGAGUAAAGUUAAUACCUUUACUCAUUGACGUUACCCGCAGAAGAAGCACCGGCUAACUCCGUGCCAGCAGCCGCGGUAAUACGGAGGGUGCAAGCGUUAAUCGGAAUUACUGGGCGUAAAGCGCACGCAGGCGGUUUGUUAAGUCAGAUAUGAAAUCCCCGGGCUCAACCUGGGAACUGCAUCUGAUACUGGCAAGCUUGAGUCUCGUAGAGGGGGGUAGAAUUCCAGGUGUAGCGGUGAAAUGCGUAGAGAUCUGGAGGAAUACCGGUGGCGAAGGCGGCCCCCUGGACGAAGACUGACGCUCAGGUGCGAAAGCGUGGGGAGCAAACAGG